RNAcentral lists this long non-coding RNA (932 nucleotides) under Nothobranchius furzeri (turquoise killifish). RNAcentral's name for it is "lncRNA (ENSNFUG00015021738.1)". Lineage: Eukaryota; Metazoa; Chordata; Actinopteri; Cyprinodontiformes; Nothobranchiidae. The record is from RNAcentral.
AUGCUGGAAGCCAGUGGAUUUUCUGCUGCAAAAAGAGCCUUGAUAAUUGCCUGGAGCCUAAAUUAUGUGCAUUUGCUUUCAAGGAGACAGCAUGUGUGGAGAGUUAAGACAACAGAGGUUCUGUUGAGCUUGCCUUUGUUCUCGUUUGCAUCAAGUGUGAAGGACUGGAGGUUGGGACCUGUGGGUGAUGCUGAGUAAAGACUUUGAUAUGAAGAAAAGCUAAGAAAGGAAAAUUAAGGGAGAAAUCUGGAUCUCUGGGGCUUGGAACUCCUCCAUCUUCCGUGGGUGUCUGGGGGCAGGUCUGUGGCCCCUCAAACUCACUAUUGAACACUCUAGAGAAACCGCAGUUUCAACGUAGUUCCACCGUGAGUUCAACCAGCUCUCAAAUCCAUCUUAUGUCCAUCAUCGCUAAGUGAAGUACAGACCGGCCAGCUGUAUUUUCUACUUUUAAGCUGAGAAAUGUCAAGCUGGAAAACUCUGUUGUUUUAUCAACAAGACGACGGUUCCUUCAGAAUAAAAGCUGAACUCUAUGACCCAAUAAGGGGGGUCUCUACGUGACGCUGAAACCUGCCGUCGUACUGCGAUACUAUCCAUAGACUGGUUUGUCGUGCUGCCGAUGCUGUUUCACCAGUUCCAGCACAAGGAGGGUCCAAGGACCUGGCAUCCAGAUGUAACACGGAAGUCUCCGCACGGUACGUAGAUCGGCAUAGAUAGCGUCUCAUGUCUUCCUCCUGAAGUCCAUCGUCGGUCAGUUAGGGCAAACAACACCUCGCACUCAGACUCGCUUCCACCAGAUGGAGAUUCUGAACUGACACACACACACCAACACUUCAGCAUUACAUUCAUCUGCAUCCAUCAUUAGAGAGUUAGUCCUGGAGAUUGUUUCAAAUAAUUAUAAAAUAAAUAUUCUUAAACGUCCCAUCUCUCUCUCU